Molecule: ribosomal RNA, 1343 nt
Filed under: uncultured bacterium
Lineage: Bacteria
Description: 16S ribosomal RNA
Rfam family: Bacterial small subunit ribosomal RNA
Source: RNAcentral
GACGAACGCUGGCGGCGUGCUUAACACAUGCAAGUCGAACGGAAAGGCCCUGCUUUUGUGGGGUGCUCGAGUGGCGAACGGGUGAGUAACACGUGAGUAACCUGCCCUUGACUUUGGGAUAACUUCAGGAAACCGGGGCUAAUACCGGAUAGGAGCUCCUGCUGCAUGGUGGGGGUUGGAAAGUUUCGGCGGUUGGGGAUGGACUCGCGGCUUAUCAGCUUGUUGGUGGGGUAGUGGCUUACCAAGGCUUUGACGGGUAGCCGGCCUGAGAGGGUGACCGGCCACAUUGGGACUGAGAUACGGCCCAGACUCCUACGGGAGGCAGCAGUGGGGAAUAUUGCACAAUGGGCGGAAGCCUGAUGCAGCAACGCCGCGUGCGGGAUGACGGCCUUCGGGUUGUAAACCGCUUUCGCCUGUGACGAAGCGUGAGUGACGGUAAUGGGUAAAGAAGCACCGGCUAACUACGUGCCAGCAGCCGCGGUGAUACGUAGGGUGCGAGCGUUGUCCGGAUUUAUUGGGCGUAAAGGGCUCGUAGGUGGUUGAUCGCGUCGGAAGUGUAAUCUUGGGGCUUAACCCUGAGCGUGCUUUCGAUACGGGUUGACUUGAGGAAGGUAGGGGAGAAUGGAAUUCCUGGUGGAGCGGUGGAAUGCGCAGAUAUCAGGAGGAACACCAGUGGCGAAGGCGGUUCUCUGGGCCUUUCCUGACGCUGAGGAGCGAAAGCGUGGGGAGCGAACAGGCUUAGAUACCCUGGUAGUCCACGCUGUAAACGGUGGGUACUAGGUGUGGGGUCCAUUCCACGGGUUCCGUGCCGUAGCUAACGCUUUAAGUACCCCGCCUGGGGAGUACGGCCGCAAGGCUAAAACUCAAAGGAAUUGACGGGGCCCCGCACAAGCGGCGGAGCAUGCGGAUUAAUUCGAUGCAACGCGUAGAACCUUACCUGGGUUUGACAUGGAUCGGGAGCGCUCAGAGAUGGGUGUGCCUCUUUUGGGGUCGGUUCACAGGUGGUGCAUGGCUGUCGUCAGCUCGUGUCGUGAGAUGUUGGGUUAAGUCCCGCAACGAGCGCAACCCUUGUUCACUGUUGCCAGCACGUUAUGGUGGGGACUCAGUGGAGACCGCCGGGGUCAACUCGGAGGAAGGUGGGGAUGACGUCAAGUCAUCAUGCCCCUUAUGUCCAGGGCUUCACGCAUGCUACAAUGGCUGGUACAGAGAGUGGCGAGCCUGUGAGGGUGAGCGAAUCUCGGAAAGCCGGUCUCAGUUCGGAUUGGGGUCUGCAACUCGACCUCAUGAAGUCGGAGUCGCUAGUAAUCGCAGAUCAGCAACGCUGCGGUGAAUACGUUCCCGGG